RNAcentral lists this ribosomal RNA (274 nucleotides) under uncultured bacterium. RNAcentral describes it as "partial 16S ribosomal RNA". It matches the Rfam family "Bacterial small subunit ribosomal RNA", at positions 523 to 796 of the family's 1533-position model. The record is from RNAcentral.
AUACGGAGGGUGCAAGCGUUGUUCGGAAUCACUGGGCGUAAAGGGCGCGCAGGCGGUUUGGUAAGUCAGAUGUGAAAGCCCAUGGCUCAACCAUGGAAGUGCAUUUGAAACUGUCAGACUUGAGUACUAGAGGGGAAAGUGGAAUUCCCGGUGUAGAGGUGAAAUUCGUAGAUAUCGGGAGGAAUACCGGUGGCGAAGGCGACUUUCUGGCUAGAUACUGACGCUGAGGCGCGAAAGCGUGGGGAGCAAACAGGAGUAGAAACCCCGGUAGUCC